Molecule: ribosomal RNA, 218 nt
Filed under: uncultured bacterium
Lineage: Bacteria
Description: partial 16S ribosomal RNA
Rfam family: Bacterial small subunit ribosomal RNA
Source: RNAcentral
GCAAGUCGAGCGCCUCGCAAGAGGAGCGGCAGACGGGUGAGUAACGCGUGGGAAUCUACCCAUCUCUACGGAACAACAGUUGGAAACGACUGCUAAUACCGUAUACGCCCUUCGGGGGAAAGAUUUAUCGGAGAUGGAUGAGCCCGCGUUGGAUUAGCUAGUUGGUGGGGUAAAGGCCUACCAAGACGAUGAUGCAUAGCCGACCUGAGAGGGUGAUC